This 471-nucleotide ribosomal RNA is filed under the name uncultured beta proteobacterium. RNAcentral describes it as "bacterial SSU rRNA". It matches the Rfam family "Bacterial small subunit ribosomal RNA", at positions 196 to 645 of the family's 1533-position model. The record is from RNAcentral. Lineage: Bacteria; Pseudomonadati; Pseudomonadota; Betaproteobacteria.
UGGAGGAAAAGSUAGGGGAUCGCAAGACCUUGCGCUYUUGGAGCGGCCGAUGUCUGAUUAGCUAGUUGGUGAGGUAAAGGCUUACCAAGGCGWCGAUCAGUAGCUGGUCUGAGAGGACGACCAGCCACACUGGGACUGAGACACGGCCCAGACUCCUACGGGAGGCAGCAGUGGGGAAUUUUGGACAAUGGGGGAAACCCUGAUCCAGCCAUGCCGCGUGAGUGAAGAAGGCCUUCGGGUUGUAAAGCUCUUUCAGCCGGAACGAAACGGUCACGGCUAAUACCYGUGACHACUGACGGUACCGGAAGAAGAAGCACCGGCUAACUACGUGCCAGCAGCCGCGGUAAUACGUAGGGUGCRAGCGUUAAUCGGAAUUACUGGGCGUAAAGCGUGCGCAGGCGGUUUUGUAAGUCAGAUGUGAAAUCCCCGGGCUUAACCUGGGAACUGCGUUUGAAACUACCAAAAGCUAGA